UCCACCCGCUCCCACAGCCUCGUCCUCGGCACCCACACCUCUGAUGACUCCCCCAACCACCUCAUGCUCGUCGACGCCGUGCUCUAGCUCCUGCCGUGCCUGGCCGUGGCGGCUGCCGCCGAGGGCCGCGCCGCCCCGUCCGUGUCCAUCGGUCACUCAGCGCCGCAUAAGGGCGAGGUCAACAGCGCCGGGUGCAUGUCUACCGCCUUGGGGAGGACGGCGUGGAGGUAUGGACUGGCGUGGAGCACGAUGAAGGAGGGGUUCCUGCUGAGCGGCUCGUACAAUAAGAAGAUUUGCAUAUGGAUCUCAAGGCCGGGAAUCGAGCCCCAGUUCUAGAUGCGCAACAGGUGUUUGAGGUCGCUGUUAAGGCCUCGAGCUGGCUGCGACCAAGCACGGCCUCUAGCUCGCCCUGCACCGCGAUUGCAGUCGCGCGGCUGAUGACCACGGGCUGCUCCACGCACGGACGACAAGCACGGCAUCCGCGAUCAAGGAGAACCUGAGAUGCAACAUCAACGUGGUGGUCAUUUAUCAGAAAGGCAAGUUCUUAUGA
This is a long non-coding RNA of Triticum aestivum (bread wheat), 550 nucleotides long. RefSeq lists it as uncharacterized. NCBI's taxonomy places the organism in Eukaryota, Viridiplantae, Streptophyta, Magnoliopsida, Poales, Poaceae. The transcript has 3 exons. The record is from RefSeq and is a predicted model, not a curated record.